RNA transcript from Prionailurus viverrinus (fishing cat), 3634 nucleotides. It is a transcript of the gene named mucolipin TRP cation channel 2, with no coding region annotated. The transcript has 15 exons. The record is from RefSeq and is a predicted model, not a curated record. Lineage: Eukaryota; Metazoa; Chordata; Mammalia; Carnivora; Felidae.
CACCCGAGACUCCAGCGCGGGAGCUUGGGGUCGGCACCCCGGGGCCGAGGCAGGUGCAGCCGUCCCACCCUCGGUCUCCUCCUCCUGCCGCACAGGGGCAGCACCAUGCCUUCCGGCGUGGAGGCUCUGGACCUGCCGGCGUGGAACGGAGCCUCAGGCCUGUCCUGGGGGCCCCGCCACAGAAAUGCAAUGGCUCAUCUUGAUUCUGAGGUGAAAGAGGAAUGUCUGCGGGAAGACCUGAAGUUUUAUUUCAUGAACCCUUGUGAAAAAUACCGAGCCCGACACCAGAUCCCAUGGAAGCUGGGACUGCAGAUUUUGAAGAUAGCCAUGGUCACCACGCAGCUUGUUCGUUUUGGUCUAAGUAACCAGCUCGUGGUUGCUUUCAAAGAAGAGAACACUGUUGCUUUUAAGCACUUGUUUCUGAAAGGAUAUUCUGGCACAGAUGAAGAUGACUAUAGUUGCAGUGUGUAUACCCAAGAGGAUGCCUACGAAAGCAUCUUUUUUGCUCUCAGUCAGUAUCAUCAGCUAAAGAACAUAUCCCUGGGGACCCUUGGUUAUGGAGAAAACGAAGACAAUAGAAUUGGCUUAAAAGUCUGUAAGCAGCAUUACAAGAAAGGGACCAUGUUUCCUUCUAAUGAGACACUGAAUAUUGACAGCGACAUUGAAAUAGAUUGUGUUCACUUAGACCUCUCCACAUACCCUCAGGAGUGGAAGAACUCGUCAUUCUUCAGACUGGAAUUUUAUCGGCUCUUACAAGUUGAAAUUUCCUUUCACCUCAAAGGCAUUGACCUACAGACGAUUCAUUCCCGAGAGUUACCGGACUGUUACGUCUUUCAUAAUACGAUUACCUUUGACAAUAAAGCUCACAGUGGCAAGAUCAAAAUCUAUUUUGGCAGUGAUGCUAAAAUUGAAGAAUGUAAAGACUUGAACAUAUCUGGAUCUAUUCAGAAAAACACCCAGUACGUGCUGGCGUUUGAUGCAUUUGUCAUUGUGAUAUGCUUGGCAUCUCUUAUUCUGUGCACAAGAUCCAUUGUUCUAGCUCUAAGGUUACGAAAGAGAUUUCUCAAUUUCUUCCUGGAGAAGUACAAGCGACACGUGUGUAACGCCGACCAGUGGGAGUUCAUCAAUGGAUGGUAUAUCCUGGUGAUUAUCAGCGACCUAAUGACGAUAAUUGGAUCCAUAUUAAAAAUGGAAAUUAAAGCAAAGAAUCUCACCAAUUACGACCUGUGCAGCAUUUUGCUCGGAACGUCUACGCUCUUUGUCUGGGUUGGCGUCAUCAGAUACCUGGGUUACUUCCAAGCAUAUAAUGUGCUCAUUUUAACGAUGCAAGCCUCACUGCCCAAAGUUCUUCGCUUCUGUGCUUGUGCUGGUAUGAUCUACUUGGGCUACACGUUCUGUGGCUGGAUUGUUUUAGGACCUUAUCACGACAAGUUUGAAGAUCUGAACACAGUUGCUGAGUGUCUGUUUUCUCUGGUCAAUGGUGAUGACAUGUUUGCGACCUUUGCUCAAAUACAGCAGAAGAGCAUCUUGGUGUGGCUAUUCAGUCGCCUGUAUUUAUAUUCCUUCAUCAGUCUUUUUAUAUAUAUGAUCCUCAGCCUGUUCAUUGCACUUAUUACAGAUUCUUAUGAUACCAUCAAGAAAUACCAACAGAAUGGAUUUCCUGAAACGGACCUUCAGGAAUUUCUGAAGGAGUGUGGUAGCAAAGAGAAGUAUCAGAAAGAGGCCUCACCCUUCUUGUCCUGCAUCUGCUGCCUGAGGAGUCACAGGUGGGGUUGUUGACUGAAAAUAUCCCCUACCCAUGUUUUUCGAGAAGAAAUCUCUAAAUCAAAUUCCUGAAGGGAGAUGGAAGAACAUAAUUGCUACUUUAAACCACAGGAUGUAUUUUCUGUUAAUCGAUUCAUACCGCAUCUUGGGAUUUGAAAUGAUAUGAGUGAGCGUUUCCAAAGAAUGUCUGGUAAAUAUGAAAUGAAGUCUUCUGAGAAAAGUUCAGUUUUUUAAAAUCACAUUUCUUCCUCUCAGAGCAUUAAAUUGUUGCCGUGGAAGCUGGGAUAAAGGGAAAUUAAUUUUCUUAAUAGGCAGUGGCUUCCUAAGAGGCACCUUAUGUAAGGAAAAUCUCUCAAAGUUGUUUUUUCCAAUGUGUAUUUAACUGUAAAGAAAAAAUCAUCAUUAGAGAGUGUAAUUGUGAAUUCUGGAAAGUAACCGAUAAGUUUUUGGUAUUUGAUUUUUGGGCUUUGGUGUGCAUCACAAAAGCCCCAGGAGGAUGUUAAAUGUUUUCUUGUGCAGCCACAUGGAAUGAGCAAAAGGUUUAAGGGAGGGACUAGAAAACGUCUUGGUCGGAUUGGGUCUGAGAACUGAGAAGAAGAAUCAAUAUCAGCAGAUGGUCCACUGUAUGGCAUGCGAGGGGCUGUUGAGAAGAUGCCUGCUUCACAGGAGGGUCUGCUCAUCAUGACAAAUGAAAGAAUUCAGCGGACGGAGGGAGUCUACCAAGGAAGUCAGCUGAAGAACUAAAAUGUUGAAAGUUUUGAAAAAAGAGGCUAUCAAAAAUAAAAACAGAAGUGGUUGUUACCGAAGAUGGUCAUGGGUGAAGUCAGCUGGAGAAGUUUUAGUUGAAUAAUCAGAUCAAAGCUUGAUCUGAUUGGACCCCUGGCCAAUUGGGAUGGACCCUACAGAGAGUAAACGAAGGUCACGGGACUGAUGCCGGAAAUGGAUGGUCCUGGGGCCAUGAGAAUAAAUGAUGACUUUGACUCCAUCAAAAAGUACACCUGGAGGUGUUUAAAGGAAAGGAAGUGAUGACCACUUGGUACUUAUGAACUAAAAUCUUCCUGCUAAAGAUAAUCAAGUUUCAGGCCUCUUUACCCUGUGACAAUGCAGAGGGCCCCAAACAGCUCGGACCAGCACUUCCAAAAAUACUGACUUAUUUAAUUGUGGAGCAGGAAAGAGGACUGUUAGCUGGUUGAACACAACUGAAAUUCCAAAGUUCCUUUUAUAAACUUGGAUGAUGAAGCAUAGACCACGGUCAACUACUGGGCAUCAGUGCAAUGGAGCAGUGAUAAUGAAAUUCUGCGUUGAACUUUUAACUUAUGACAUCACAAUGUUGGGAUGGAAAAAAAAAAAAUCACAUUUCAAAGUGUGCCAAAACAAUGGCACCUAAAGCCAUGCAUUGAAAGAUAGGUGUUAAUCGUUCAAUAAGGGUUUGUUUUAAAAGUGAUUUGGGAUUAGAAGACAUUUGCUAAUUCAUGGUGUGUACAGAAAUGAAGUUGGUUCCAAUACUCAGUUAGAAAUUGCAAGGUGGAGAACUAUUAAGCCAACUAAAGAACACACUUAAAUCAACAAAAAGACCGUCUUGGCCUGUUUUCCUAUGUUUGUUUGUUUUCCAGCAUGACAGGAAGCAACUGUUGGCAUGGUGGGAUGAAUCAUGGGGUUCGGUGGGUUGGUUCAGUGGGAUGAACUGGAAACAGUCAUUUGUACACCUUGUCGCUUGUGCUAUUGUUGAUUAUACACACAUGACAUGGAAGUGAAGGGUACAAUGGUCACUCAUUUUAACAACUGAACUCCACUAUGGUGGCAAUUUGCCCUUGUCAAGCAAGGAAAGAUGGUAUUUUUUUCCCAAAUAAAUUUAUUUUUGUCACAACAA